Molecule: ribosomal RNA, 433 nt
Filed under: uncultured bacterium
Lineage: Bacteria
Description: partial 16S ribosomal RNA
Rfam family: Bacterial small subunit ribosomal RNA
Source: RNAcentral
AACGAACGCUGGCGGCAGGCCUAACACAUGCAAGUCGAGCGCGCCCUUCGGGGUUAGCGGCGGACGGGUGAGUAACGCGUGGGAACGUGCCCUUUUCUACGGAAUAGCCUCGGGAAACUGAGAGUAAUACCGUAUACGCCCUUUGGGGGAAAGAUUUAUCGGAAAAGGAUCGGCCCGCGUUGGAUUAGGUAGUUGGUGGGGUAAUGGCCUACCAAGCCGACGAUCCAUAGCUGGUUUGAGAGGAUGAUCAGCCACACUGGGACUGAGACACGGCCCAGACUCCUACGGGAGGCAGCAGUGGGGAAUCUUAGACAAUGGGGGCAACCCUGAUCGAGCCAUGCCGCGUGAGUGAUGAAGGCCUUAGGGUUGUAAAGCUCUUUCAGCUGGGAAGAUAAUGACGGUACCAGCAGAAGAAGCCCCGGCUAACUCCGUG